This 148-nucleotide non-coding RNA is filed under the name Gorilla gorilla gorilla (western lowland gorilla). Lineage: Eukaryota; Metazoa; Chordata; Mammalia; Primates; Hominidae. The record is from Rfam by way of RNAcentral.
GCUGGGUGUGGUGGUGCAUGCCUGUAAUCCCAGCUACUUGGGAGGCUGAGGCAGGAGAAUUGCUUGAACCUGGGAGGUGGAGGUUGCAGUGAGCAAAGAUUGUGCCACUGCACUCCAGCCUGGGUGACAGAGAGAGAUUCUGUCUCAA